CCCGGUGCCACGUCUGCCAAAGCAUGCGCACCAAGCUAGGAGAGGCGGCCCGGAGAGAUGCCUGCCGGGAGUUGUAGUUCAGGAGCAGCUUGCCUCUACCUUGGACUUUGCCUGAGGACACAGAGCUGCAGCUUUCCAGGGCAUCUGAUCCCAUUUUCUGAUCUCCAAGGGCAUAAGGCAUGAUCGUGGUACUCAUACAUAUGGAGUCCCAGACAGGACCUCAGCCGUGACUGUUCCCAGUGCUGUCUGGGAGAAUGGCCCUAUGAUGUCAUAUCGAGGCACUUCAGAAAUUUCUAAAGCAGAUUGGAGACAUGGCUUUCUCACACACUCAGCAACUUCAGUCUCACAACUGACUUAACUCUUCUCAGGGAAUCUAUUUCUCAUCUGCAAAAUGAAGUUUGUAAGAAAAACCAAACCCCUUCCUGUGUUAGUGCUGUGUCCUUGUGACAAAAUACCCCACAGGAGUCUUAAGGAAGAGUUAUUUGCGUUUCUGAGUCGAGAGCAUGGAGAAGCACAGUCCUCGCCAUGUUGACCAGAAAGCAGGCUCAGAGCUGUUCGUGCUAGCUGACUUGCUUCUCUUACCUCUUCAUUCGAUCUGGGUCCUCAGUCUAUGGGACUGUGAGGCCUACAUUCAAGGUGGGUCUCUCUCCAGAACGCCUUACUUAAUCAUUUCUGGAAACAUUGUCACAAACAUGCCUACUCUGAUGCUGAGGGGAAAGCAGGCAGACCUGAGGGAAUACACCCUGUGGGUUUCUGUUAACCUCAAGUUCAACAGACAGGGGUGAUCUGUGAUGGUAGAAAGAAAAAUCAAGUUGGGAGGAAUAUAGGGGGACUCCCAGGAGCAUGAUGAAGCAUUGUGGGAGUGGAAGAUAUUGGAAUUAAAUGAUAGUUGCUAAAUGAUUUAUUAUGUAUAAAUGACAUUAAAAGUCAUGUAUUAAUUGAGCUGUAUUACCUAGGUUGUUACAGUAAC
This is a non-coding RNA of Rattus norvegicus (Norway rat), 970 nucleotides long. NCBI's taxonomy places the organism in Eukaryota, Metazoa, Chordata, Mammalia, Rodentia, Muridae. The record is from RefSeq and is a predicted model, not a curated record.